ACGGUGUGUUAGUGCAGUGACGCAUUGAGCUAACUGAUACUAAUUGCCCGUGAGGCUUAACCAUACAACACCCAAGGGGUUU
Molecule: ribosomal RNA, 82 nt
Filed under: Vibrio parahaemolyticus
Lineage: Bacteria; Pseudomonadati; Pseudomonadota; Gammaproteobacteria; Vibrionales; Vibrionaceae
Description: partial 23S ribosomal RNA
Source: RNAcentral